RNAcentral lists this ribosomal RNA (1590 nucleotides) under Triticum aestivum (bread wheat). RNAcentral describes it as "partial small subunit ribosomal RNA". Lineage: Eukaryota; Viridiplantae; Streptophyta; Magnoliopsida; Poales; Poaceae. The record is from RNAcentral.
AUGCUUUCACAACUUGACUUCAAAAUAUUUGGUUUGGAGACCAUCAAAGAUCAAUAUGUGCAUGAUGCUGAUUUUAAAGAUGUAUUGCAGAAUUGUAAAGAAGGAAGAACAUGGAACAAGUUUGUCGUUAAUGAUGGAUUUGUGUUCCGUGCUAACAAGCUAUGCAUUCCAGCUAGCUCCGUUCGUCUUUUGUUGUUGCAGGAGGCGCAUGGAGGAGGACUAAUGGGACACUUUUGCGUGAAGAAGACGGAGGACGUACUUGCUACACAUUUCUUUUUGCCAAAGAUGAGACGGGAUGUUGAGCGUUUUAUUGCUCGCUGCACUACAUGUCAAAAAGCUAAGUCACGACUCAAUCCUCAUGGUUUAUAUAUGCCUUUGCCUGUACCUAGUGUUCCUUGGGAGGAUAUAUCUAUGGACUUUGUUUUAGGUUUACCUAGAACAAAGAAGGGGAGGGAUAGCAUAUUUGUUGUCCUGGAUAGAUUCUCGAAAAUGGCACACUUUAUACCAUGUCAUAAAAGCGAUGAUGUUGUUAAUGUUGCUGAUUUGUUCUUUCGUGAAAUUAUUCGCUUGUAUGGUGUGCCAAAUACUAUUGUUUCAGAUCGUGAUACUAAAUUUCUUAGCCACUUUUGGAGAUGUUUAUUGGCUAAGUUGGGGACUAAACUGCUUUUUAGUACUACUUGUUACCCCCAAACUGAUGGACAAACUGAAGUAGUCAAUAGAACAUUGUCAACUAUGCUUAGGGCUGUUUUGAAGAAUAAUAACAAAAUGUGGGAGGAAUGUUUGCCUCAUAUUGAAUUUGCUUAUAAUCGUUCAUUGCAUUCUACUACUAAGAUAUGCCCUUUUGAAGUUGUGUAUGGUUUCCUACCUCGUGCACCUAUUGAUUUGUUGCCUCUUCCAUCUUCGGAGAAGGUUAAUUUUGAUGCUAAACAACGUGCUGAAUUGAUUUUAAAAAUGCAUGAGUUAACUAAGGAAAACAUUGAGCGUAUGAAUGCUAAAUAUAAACUUGCUGGAGAUAAGGGUAGAAAACAUGUUGUGUUUGCACCUGGAUAUCUUGUUUGGUUACAUUUGCGUCAGGAUAGAUUUCCUGAUUUGCGCAAAUCAAAGCUAAUGCCACGUGCUGAUGGUCCCUUUAAGGUGUUGGAGAAAAUAAAUGAUAAUGCAUAUAAACUUGAGCUGCCUAUAGAUUUUGGGGUUAGUCCCACUUUUAACAUUGCAGAUUUGAAGCCUUAUUUGGGUGAGGAAAAUGAACUUCCGUCGAGGACGACUUCAUUUCAAGAAGGGGAGGAUGAUGAGGACAUCAAUACCAUUGUUACACCCACAGCCCCUGCUGCUAUAUAUACUGGACCAAUUACUAGAGCUCGCGCAUGCCAACUAAAUUACCAGGUACUUUCGUUUCUUGGUAAUGAUUCUAAUGUUCAUGAGAAUAUGAUGCUGCCUAAAUUGGAUACAUUUGUUUUGCUUACAAAUCAAGGGCCUAGCUUGGAGAAGGAUGCACAUUGGAGCAAGAACAAGCAUGGAGAUGAUGGCAUGCGCAAGGGGAACAAGAACAGAGUUACAAGUGAUGAUUUCAGGACUUUGAAGCCACCAUAA